UAGGGAAUCUUCCACAAUGGGCGAAAGCCUGAUGGAGCAACGCCGCGUGGGUGAAGAAGGUCUUCGGAUCGUAAAACCCUGUUGUUAGAGAAGAAAGUGCGUGAGAGUAACUGUUCACGUUUCGACGGUAUCUAACCAGAAAGCCACGGCUAACUACGUGCCAGCAGCCGCGGUAAUACGUAGGUGGCAAGCGUUAUCCGGAUUUAUUGGGCGUAAAGGGAACGCAGGCGGUCUUUUAAGUCUGAUGUGAAAGCCUUCGGCUUAACCGGAGUAGUGCAUUGGAAACUGGGAGACUUGAGUGCAGAAGAGGAGAGUGGAACUCCAUGUGUAGCGGUGAAAUGCGUAGAUAUUAGGAGGAACACCAGUGGCGAAGGCGGCCUGCUGGGCUUUUACUGACGCUGAGGCUCGAAAGUGUGGGGAGCAAACAGGGAUUAGAUACC
Molecule: ribosomal RNA, 440 nt
Filed under: uncultured bacterium
Lineage: Bacteria
Description: bacterial SSU rRNA
Rfam family: Bacterial small subunit ribosomal RNA
Source: RNAcentral